This 253-nucleotide ribosomal RNA is filed under the name uncultured bacterium. RNAcentral describes it as "partial 16S ribosomal RNA". It matches the Rfam family "Bacterial small subunit ribosomal RNA", at positions 524 to 776 of the family's 1533-position model. The record is from RNAcentral.
UACAGAGGGGGCAAGCGUUAUUCGGAAUUAUUGGGCGUAAAGGGCGCGUAGGCGGCUUUGCAAGUGGCGGGUGAAAUCCCUCGGCUUAACCGAGGAACUGCCUGCCAGACUGUGAGGCUUGAGACCGGGAGAGGUGAGUGGAAUUCCCAGUGUAGCGGUGAAAUGCGUAGAUAUUGGGAGGAACACCAGUGGCGAAGGCGGCUCACUGGACCGGUUCUGACGCUGAGGCGCGAAAGCGUGGGGAGCAAACGGG